GGAAGGCCUCGGUCUCUUGGUUCCUUUUUGGAGCUGCUGCGGGCGGCAGGGAGUUCCUUCCAGUUCUUGAUAAAGAUAAAGGGAGCACCCAUGGACUUGAGUAACUGCAGAGGAGCACCGUGGUGCACAGAUGUAUUCCCACAGUUGCCAGCUGUCAUCACGUCUUCCACCACAGGAAUGGAGCCAUAGGAGCAAGCCUCAUAGAUUCGAUAGCAUUCUGUGUUUACUCCGACCGGGCACAAUGUGAGAUCACUCUGAAGCAAGGCAUCUUGGUAAUUCUUAAGACUUUCAUUUGUUUCCUGAGGCUGCCAGCUAGAAAAUCAGAAAAACAACUGUAGUUUUCACUUUACUAAGUAUAUAGUUUGUGAAC
RNAcentral lists this long non-coding RNA (370 nucleotides) under Pan troglodytes (chimpanzee). RNAcentral's name for it is "long non-coding RNA NONPTRT003403". Lineage: Eukaryota; Metazoa; Chordata; Mammalia; Primates; Hominidae. The record is from RNAcentral.